GACGAACGCUGGCGGCGUGCUUAACACAUGCAAGUCGAACGGAAAGGCCCUGCUUUUGUGGGGUGCUCGAGUGGCGAACGGGUGAGUAACACGUGAGUAACCUGCCCUUGACUUUGGGAUAACUUCAGGAAACUGGGGCUAAUACCGGAUAGGAGCUCCUGCUGCAUGGUGGGGGUUGGAAAGUUUCUGCGGUUGGGGAUGGACUCGCGGCUUAUCAGCUUGUUGGUGGGGUAGUGGCUUACCAAGGCUUUGACGGGUAGCCGGCCUGAGAGGGUGACCGGCCACAUUGGGACUGAGGUACGGCCCAGACUCCUACGGGAGGCAGCAGUGGGGAAUAUUGCACAAUGGGCGGAAGCCUGAUGCAGCAACGCCGCGUGCGGGAUGACGGCCUUCGGGUUGUAAACCGCUUUCGCCUGUGACGAAGCGUGAGUGACGGUAAUGGGUAAAGAAGCACCGGCUAACUACGUG
RNAcentral lists this ribosomal RNA (468 nucleotides) under uncultured bacterium. RNAcentral describes it as "partial 16S ribosomal RNA". It matches the Rfam family "Bacterial small subunit ribosomal RNA", at positions 28 to 507 of the family's 1533-position model. The record is from RNAcentral.